This 69-nucleotide transfer RNA is filed under the name Chloroflexota bacterium. Its description in RNAcentral is "Chloroflexi bacterium (anaerobic digester metagenome) tRNA-Pro". It matches the Rfam family "tRNA". From Rfam's summary of the family: Transfer RNA (tRNA) molecules are approximately 80 nucleotides in length. Lineage: Bacteria; Bacillati; Chloroflexota. The record is from RNAcentral.
GGCGUGGCUCAGCCUGGCUAGAGUGCGCGGUUUGGGUCCGCGAGAUCGGAGGUUCAAAUCCUCUCGCCA